GGGGGUCAAUCAUCAUUGGCUUUUGUUGAUCGGUGGCCUAGCUCCCUUCUUUAAUAUCAGCAACUCUACUAUUAAAAGCUUUAUGUGGGCAUUCUAUUGGCUAUAUGUCUCAUAUGUCCACAAGCAAAAUAAUAAAUAAAGAUGCCCUCAUAAGUAGAAAGUUAUCAAAUUCAUUCUUCAUCAUCCUCUCCUUAGAGGUCUGAAGGAAAGGUAUUUGAUC
RNAcentral lists this long non-coding RNA (220 nucleotides) under Elaeis guineensis (African oil palm). Its description in RNAcentral is "long non-coding RNA (EGUI_LNC024231)". The record is from RNAcentral. Lineage: Eukaryota; Viridiplantae; Streptophyta; Magnoliopsida; Arecales; Arecaceae.